Molecule: ribosomal RNA, 465 nt
Filed under: uncultured bacterium
Lineage: Bacteria
Description: partial 16S ribosomal RNA
Rfam family: Bacterial small subunit ribosomal RNA
Source: RNAcentral
GACGAACGCUGGCGGCGUGCUUAACACAUGCAAGUCGAACGGUAAGGCUCCAGCUUGCUGGGGUACACGAGUGGCGAACGGGUGAGUAACACGUGGGUGACCUGCCCUGCACUUCGGGAUAAGCCUGGGAAACUGGGUCUAAUACCGGAUAGGACCAUGGUGUGGAUACUGUGGUGGAAAGUUUUUUCGGUGUGGGAUGGGCCCGCGGCCUAUCAGCUUGUUGGUGGGGUAAUGGCCUACCAAGGCGGCGACGGGUAGCCGGCCUGAGAGGGUGGACGGCCACAUUGGGACUGAGACACGGCCCAGACUCCUACGGGAGGCAGCAGUGGGGAAUAUUGCACAAUGGGCGGAAGCCUGAUGCAGCGACGCCGCGUGGGGGAUGACGGCCUUCGGGUUGUAAACUCCUUUCACCAUCGACGAAGGGUUUCUGACGGUAGAUGGAGAAGAAACACCGGCUAACUACGU